GAUGGAAUUAGUGCCUUUAUAAGAAGAGACACCAGAGAGCUUGCUCACACUCUCCCUUUCGGGGAGAUACUACCAUUACAUUGUUGGGUUGAGACUGGAAGUCAUCCAGCCAAAAGGUCAAAGUGGCAUGGCCCAGAGAGAUAAAGACCUGUCACUUGCAAGUGGAUAUUUGGACACGAUGAGAAGAGAGACAUGUGAGGGCACAAGGGGGAGUAUCUACACCUGUGCUGUGCCCUGUCCCCCAGCGCUGGCUUUCUGUUGGAGUAACACAAUGGGAAAGUGUGUUAAUUUCCAGUGUUUCACUCUCACCUCCUCCUUGUACCCCCAUCUGGGUGAUUUUUGAAGCAUGUAUCCAAAUACAGCCUCCCUCAACUUAGGUCUCAGCAUGGCACUGAUGAACAGAUGUGAUAGAGGGAGAUCUGAUCGUGACCCCGAGGGCAGCUCACUCACGUGCAUGAGCCAAGCUGAGGGCCCAGAGCCGGAGGUAAGAGGCUGUGUUUGAAAUGCAGCCCAGGCAGUACUCGAUUGUGUGGAUGGCUUGAUGCACAAAGAUGUCUCCAAAGUUGAACUGAAAGAGAGAAUUUUUUAUUCUAUUUCAUUAAGUAUUUCCUCCAUGAAAGGUCUUACUAAUGAUACACCGAUGAAUAAAACAUGUGCUCCACUCUUAAGGCACUUCCAGUCGAACUAGGGGAAAACAAAUAUUAAUAUGCUCGUAGAGAGAGAGUUAGCAGCGCAAAGUAGGGUACAGUGUGUGUGCAGGAACAUUUCCCAGAAGUAGCUGAAAGAAGUUCAAAGAAGAAGAGAGACCGGUCGGUAAGGUGUCACAGGAGGUGAGGUCUGUGCUGGGCCGGGAAGGCUGGGGAGGCAUCUGGAAGUAAAAGAUAAGCAAGAUCAUUCCUGGUGAAGAAAAUGACUCCCGGUGAGGAAAAGGUGGGUGCUUGGGAACAUCAGGAAGGCAAGUUCUGGGCGGGAAACAAUUUGGCUGGAAGUAGGUGCUUGUUUGGUGAGGACUAGAAAGGAGCCCCCAGGUGCUGAAGUUUCAGUAAAGAACAGAGUUGGGAAAAUAAGUUGGAAUCAAUGAGCAACCAUAAACAGCAUCUGAAUGAAAAGUGGCCGGGGUGGGGAGGGGGAAUAAAGAAGUCUUGGGGGGAUGAUUAAUCUGGUGACAAAAUGGACUAGCAAAGGCAGAGCCUUAUAAGCAAAAAAGCCUGUUUGUUGACUAGCUCACUAAUCUAGAGAUGAAGGGGAAGAAACAGCACGCACACAGCAAGAGCAUGCUGUUCCCUUCAGGCACUCUGAUGCUGUCGGGGGAACAGUGUGACUGGCACCAUCCUGGCCCUCAGGUGGCUCGCAGCGUGGUGGGGACAGGGUGCUUGGAAAAGUGCAAUAAUCAAGACUCAGCAGUACUGUGGGAAUGCAGAAAAAGGGCCUCUGACCCAGCAGGGGCCAGGGUCAUACAGGGCUCUGAGGGUCUUGAGUCCGAGGGGCUAAAAGAAUGGCAUUGACAGAAAUGGAUACAUUGGAGAAGGACAUUAGUGAUAGGUUCAGGUGUGUUGUGUCUUAGGUGACAGCUGGCCACACAAGUAGAAUCUCUCAGCACACAGUGACAGAGGAAGAACAGGUUCAGAAGAACAGUCCGGGCUGGAAGUGAACACCUAGGACUCACCUGUGGGAGGUAAGGGGACCAGGAAGACACACGAGGGAAAGAUCACAGAGCUCCCAGCCUGGGAAAAGUUCAUCUGGAGGUGAGAAAGAAAGACAUGGAUGAUGGAAAGAAGAGGUCAGAGUCCCAGAAGGAGUCACAGGGCUGCGGCCAAGGAUAGAGAAAUACCGAGGAAGGCAUGGAGGGUGCGGUCAACCAUGUCAGGAGCUCUGGAGAGGAGACAGGAGUCAAUGCCUCUGACUCAGCAAUGAAAACAGCUGGGAGGAGGUGAAGGGCAGGGAAGGGCAGAGAGGGGAGAGAGGCAAGGGAAUGGAGGAAUGAGUGGUGAAGAACGAACCCCACCCGAGGAGAGGGCUGGCUUUGUCCUGGCUCCAGGGAGGCAAUCUCUAAACUCCUGACGUCUCCCACCUGAAAGAACUGUCUGUGUUCUUCACGGUGAGCCCCUGGGACCACAUUGGAUGGUUCCUGUGGUUGGAGGGUUGAGACUGGGAGCCAUGUGUUACCAGCCCAGCCUCCAGGGAGAGGAUGGAGUUGGAGAGUGAGCACAACCACUGAGUUGCAUGCCUACGUAAUGAAACCCCAAUAGAGCUUUGGAUGCUGGAGCUCCGGUGAGCUUCCUGGGCUGGCAAUGCUGUGUGCACACCACCACAUGUUGAGGCCGGGAGACUAAUGUCUCUCUAAGGACACAGAAUUCUGGAAUUUGGAACCCUCCCAGUGUCAGAUUCUGUCUAUGCGCCUCUUCUUCCGGCUGCUUCUGAUCUGUAUAUUUGAGCUACAGUAAAAGCCUAACUGAGCGUUCUUACCCACAGUGAGUGAAUUUAAAUGAACGGCUCUUACCAGGGAUUUUUGAUGCUUGGCUCUAAGAAUAAACGGCUUAAUCAGAAGCAUCCAAGGCACAGAAAUCAAAGCCAUGAUAACAAAGAAACUUUGGACUUCUUGCUGUAAGAUUAAAAUGGUAAGAUCCUGUCAUUUUAAGGUGAUCACACAACAUACUUCAUAUGAUAAAAAUGGUAAACAUGGAUCAUUUUAGUUGUACCUAUUUUAAGAGAUCUAAAGCAUUUCAAUGAAUCCACUCACUUUUACAUCUUGGAGUAUUCCCA
Felis catus (domestic cat) is the source of this 2763-nucleotide long non-coding RNA. RefSeq lists it as uncharacterized. The record is from RefSeq and is a predicted model, not a curated record. The transcript is spliced from 3 exons. NCBI's taxonomy places the organism in Eukaryota, Metazoa, Chordata, Mammalia, Carnivora, Felidae.